Molecule: long non-coding RNA, 3228 nt
Filed under: Canis lupus familiaris (dog)
Lineage: Eukaryota; Metazoa; Chordata; Mammalia; Carnivora; Canidae
Description: lncRNA (ENSCAFG00845028942.1)
Source: RNAcentral
CCGCGGGCGGCCGGGCUCCUGGCCCCCUGUCUGGGGCUUAUCGACGUGGUUAAGCUCCUGUAAGAGCGACCACGUGUGUGUUGAGGGAAAACUCCUGAAUGCGGGCUGGUCUGCAUGCGGUGUGUAGUUGCAUUUGUCAGGCUCAGCUGUCACCGUGCAUUCACAUCUCCUGGAUAUAUGGAUGCAUGUGAUGUAAAUCGCUGGCAGCCUAGAUAUAAUUGUGCAGAAUGUUCUUUUACACCUACCCAUUUCUAAGCACAUGUGUUUGCAUUUAUUUAAUGAAGAUCCGGGGGGAGAGCGAUGGAAGUCGAAAAAGCACAAACUAACUCGGUCAGCUUUUGAUUUGCGAUAAUGAAGAGGGGGUUUUCUGAUCUGCCUUUGCAGGGGUAUAUGCCCUUUCCUUUCGCAUCGGAGCCCCCAAUGUUUGUUCUCCCGACAACCUUAGACAUUCUGCAGCCAGGGAGGGCCUCUGUACCCAACAGGCGGAGGGCUCAGUCUGUGAAUAUCCUGUAAGUGUCGGGAAUGCACACCUGGUACCUCUCCGCUGGUAUCCACAGCUUAACGAAGUAAAUAGAAGAUGUCAAGGAGGAAUACGAUAUUGGUGGCCCAAUCCACAGUUCACUGCGACCUGCACACCUCGAAGCUUUGUUGGAUUCUUCAGAUGCUGAUUGCAUUGCAGAUGAAGCUUCAGAUCCUCGUCCUCUCCUUAAACAUGCUCUAGCAUUUUUGUCAUCGCUUGCAUUUUACUUUCACGUGGCAAACACUUUGUACAGCUUACUGAGAAGUAGGAACACCCCACGGGGCCGGCCACGCAGGGCACCCCUCUGGUCCCCCUCAGAGAGAUCCUGUGAGGAGAGUACUCUGCAGGUGGCCUCUGGCUCCCACAACUUCAGAUCUGUUCUGGUGUUCACAUCAGGGCCGCAUUCUGCCCAGAACGCCCUCUCCAAAGUAAAAAGCAACCAGCUGCGUCUUGUGGGAUCUACUACAAAAAAGGUAGCCCUCUUGUGUCCCGGAAGCAACACAGAUCAUACUUAGAAAGUGCUGCAGCCUAUGUGAUAAGUGACAUGGAUGGAAGAAGCUACCAGCACUGAGAGGGCUCAGAGCAGGGAAGAGUUUUGCAGGAAGCCCCGGCUGUGCUGCAAACACUCUGCUUCUUGGACCAUACAAUCAAGCAGAUCCUUUGUUGUGGGUGUUUGGUGUCAGAGGUGAGAAAAGGUACAAUAGGGAGAUGAUGGCAAGCCCCAGCGGAAGAAUCACAAUGCAGGUCUAUGGGGGAUCUGAAGCAAGGCUGUAUUCUCUGCAAAAGGGAACUGUCUCUUUUUUGAGAAUCAGUGCUUGGUAAGCUGCCUGACCUUGGUAGAAAAGGAAUGCUUGACCAUAGGACACCAAGUGACCAGCCAUCUAGAAUUUCCCAUUAUAAGCUCAGUCUUGUUGAACCUGCCAAGACAAAUUCAAAAGGACCCAAAGCAGUGUACUGUAGGUUGGACACGGCAUAUCCAGAAUCAGUCUGAGUGGGAACAGAGGGCAUGAGUAAGCUACCAGAACUGGUUGCCCAGUCCCUCAUGUUCCCUGGUGUUGCACUAAGCACCUCUUCCUUAGCUCUCACCUGGGGGAGGAUUGAGGUUCUGCACAACCAGCUGAAAAAGGAAGAGAAGCCUGCAUUUGCUUUAUAGAUGGAAAGGCACAGUAUGUGGAUGAAGCUGAAAAUGAAUGGAGGCUCUACUCAGGAGUGGUCUUGAAAGUCUCUAGAUGGGGGAAAAUCUUUCUAAGGGGCAGGGUUGUGAGUGGUAAGCCAUCUGUUAGUGGUAAGGUCAUCUGUUUUGUGUGGAAAAAAAAUUGGCAUAAGGUAGGAAUGUAUAUAGAUUUCCAGGUAAUGGCCAACAGCCUGGACAUCUAGUGAAAAGCCUGGAAGGAAGAGGACUGGAAGAUUGGACACAUGAAGUUCUAGGGUAGAGACAUGGGAAUGGGUGCUAAAUGUAUAGAGUUUUGUGUUGCAUGUCAUUGCUUUCCGGAGGGAAGCACUGAAAACCCAAUCAGACAAAAGGACUCAGCCAGUUGAUGUCAGCCAUCCUUCCUUGCCACCCAUCCUAGAUCUGGAACAAGGGACCUGUGAACUUAGUGGCCUUGGCAGCAGAGAUGGAGGUAAUACAUGGGCCCAACAGAAAGGACUCAAAUUUAUCAAGGCCAAUUUAGUAACUGCUUUUGCUGAAUGUCCAACCUGCCAGCAACAGAGACUAGUUCUUGAGAAUACCAUUAUGUACUUGGUGGCAGGUUGACUAUACAUUAGGCCUCUUCUAGCCCGGAAGAGCCAGUGGUUUAUCCUCUCUAGGGGUAGACACCUAUUCUGGGUAUGGGUUUCCCUAUCAUGCCCACAGAACUCAGCCAGUAUCACCACUACUCAGGAGCUUACAGGAUACUUGAUCCAUAGCCAUGGAAUUUAAUACAGCAUCACGAAUGACCAGGGGACCUACUUCAGAAUGAACGAGUUCCUAAAGUGAGCCCUGACCUUGGGAUCCAUAGGGCUUAUUACAUGCUGCCUUACAUACUACAUACAGCAUGCCUCUGUUAUCCAUGAGGAGCCAGCCUCAUGGAAUGGUCUGGUCUCCUGAAGGCACAGCUGAAGUUCCAGUCUGCUGGUAAUAAUCUGCAAAAAUGGAUUGGUGUCCUUCAGAAUGCAGUAUAUUCACUAAAUCAGCUUCUACAUAGCACUAUGUGCUCCGUAAAAAGAACCCAUAGGCUCCAGGAACUAAGAGGUGGAAGCAAGAGGACCUCACACAACAUCACAUCCAAUGAUCUUUUUCUCUCUGUGUAACUCUGGGCCCCACGGAACUUCCAGUGGGGAAACACUUGUAAGAGGACAAAAUGAAAAUCCUGUUGAACUGCAAAUUCUUAGCAGGAGAAGGCUUUUAUAAAAUGGGGACAGAAGGGAAUAUGUGUGGAACACAGAUGCUCCAUUGGGAGCUUCCUGGUACUUCACAGACCCCUUGUAGAUGCACAGCUUCAGCAUGAGAAGGGCAUGAAUUACCAAGGUUUGGACCUUCCAGGAAUGAGGGUUUGGGCCACACGACCAGGUAAACCUCCAAAAGCUGCUGCUGUGGUAGCUCAGGGUAAGGGGGAUUUAAGAAGGGUGAGAAGAAGAGGGAGAGGAUAACCACUCACAGCCCCAAGACCUACUACAGUGAUGGGGCUUCUAUUUGUCCCAGUAACUUCCCAUUUCUAAGCUUUCCC